This 424-nucleotide ribosomal RNA is filed under the name uncultured bacterium. Its description in RNAcentral is "partial 16S ribosomal RNA". It matches the Rfam family "Bacterial small subunit ribosomal RNA", at positions 360 to 776 of the family's 1533-position model. The record is from RNAcentral.
AAUUUUGGACAAUGGGGGAAACCCUGAUCCAGCCAUCCCGCGUGUAUGAUGAAGGCCUNCGGGUUNUNAAGUACUUUUGGCAGAGNCGAAAAGGUAUAUCCUAAUACGAGAUACUGCUGACGGUAUCUGCAGAAUAAGCACCGGCUAACUACGUGCCAGCAGCCGCGGUAAUACGUAGGGUGCAAGCGUUAAUCGGAAUUACUGGGCGUAAAGCGUGUGUAGGCGGGUCGGAAAGAAAGAUGUGAAAACCCACGGCUCAACCUUGGAACUGCAUUUUUAACUGCCGAGCUAGAGUAUGUCAGAGGGGGGUAGAAUUCCACGUGUAGCAGUGAAAUGCGUAGAUAUGUGGAGGAAUACCGAUGGCGAAGGCAGCCCACUGGGAUAAUACUGACGCUCAGAAACGAAAGCGUGGGGAGCAAACAGG